RNAcentral lists this ribosomal RNA (253 nucleotides) under uncultured bacterium. RNAcentral describes it as "partial 16S ribosomal RNA". It matches the Rfam family "Bacterial small subunit ribosomal RNA", at positions 524 to 776 of the family's 1533-position model. The record is from RNAcentral.
UACGUAGGGUGCAGGCGUUAAUCGGAAUUACUGGGCGUAAAGCGUGCGCAGGCGGUGAUGUAAGACAGUUGUGAAAUCCCCGGGCUCAACCUGGGAAUUGCAUCUGUGACUGCAUCGCUAGAGUACGGUAGAGGGGGAUGGAAUUCCGCGUGUAGCAGUGAAAUGCGUAGAUAUGCGGAGGAACACCGAUGGCGAAGGCAAUCCCCUGGACCUGUACUGACGCUCAUGCACGAAAGCGUGGGGAGCAAACAGG